GGCAUAUUUAACAACGCAAAGUUGCUAGGAGUUGGUACCAGCGUUUGGGAGGUAGAGGUGGCGCUCAUGCAUAUUUGAGACAACAUCUGGAUGGUUGGGGAGAACGGUGAUGCCACACUCAAUCAGAAACUAUGCUACUGCUGAAGAGGUAUAUUGAGCCCUGCCUGGUUAACCUCCAGUGAGGUUAUUAGAGAAUUGGGAGAGGCUCAAAUCAGCAUCCUGCACCUAGUUAUCAAACCAUUGUGAAGUCUUGAUUCCUGGAUGGCCAGAAAACUUGUCAUUGGUCAAGAGCAACAUUAAGAUCUGCCUGUUACUCAUACUGAUGCUUCCUGCCCAGCAAGUUCAUCAGAGGGCGAGGAUGAAUUACGGUUGCCAUGAAUGUCCUUGUGAGGCAGUUGGGAAGCCUUGGCUGGAUUGUGAAGGAUAUUUGAAAAGUAUUUUAGAGUCCACCAGAUCAUCCAUGUGAGUGACCAUGCAGCAAAAGAAGGAGGGUCCUCUCAGUGAUUAAGGAUUAUGAAGUAUUAAUUCUUCCACUGAUAUCUCAAAAGGUGAUCUGGACAAAGGAACAGGUAUCUCAGAUCUUGGGACACCCAGCACGUGACAAAAACAACAGCAGACCCUGGUGCCUGGGAGGACUUCAUGGAUCCAGCAGCAACCUGGAGUGGUGCUCCUCUGAAGAAAUCCUACUCGGAUGGAUAUAAUACAACCUGCUAAGUGUCCUAGCACUUAGCAGGUUGUAUUAUCAUUGUCCGUGUCUAUGGCUCUCGUCUACCAGACUUUAAAUUCCUUAAGGGCAAGGACAGUGCCUUACUCAUCUUUGUAUUCACAGUGCCUAAUCCGGUGCACAUUGUAGGCCUCAUUAAAUGUUUGUUGAAUGAAAAAAUGAAUCAUCAACAGACAUUAAUUGGGCGCCUGCUCUGUGAUCUCCAUGGGCUCAGCUUGUCCCCGCCAGUUGCCAACAACGUCCAAGCUCUCUUCAGAAUGCUUACUCCUGAAGCUUAUUCCUGUCUUCUAAUUCUUUUGUUGAGGACUUUUCUGUGUAGUGCAAUGAUAGCAAAUACACUUCAUCUCAAGUACCAUCUCCAAUUGAUUGAUAAUGCCUGCCCUGAUUAUGUUUUAUAACAAGAUUCUGAAACCAGGUCUUAUCUCAGUGUGAAAGACAUUUAUAACUAUUUAGUGAUGUCUGCUGAGGGUCGGAGAAGGGGGAGUAGCAGCACAAGUGCCUCAUAUGUCAUAUUUGCUACUCUGUUUUCUAUGAAAUACUUCAUUUCUAUGCCUGCAUUUUGGUCUUAGCUACUUGCUGAUGUUGCAUGGCUGUUGCUGCUACUGUAAUUGCUGCUAAUUGCUCCCUGGGUUGGACCAGAGUGCUCAUUGUCUGAACAGAAACCUCAUCCUCACAGUCUGAGGUUUGCUCCUGUGGCUGAUAUUUAAAGUUUUCCCCUUUCAACUUUACUCCAGCUAUCCCCUUACCUGCACUGACAGGUAAUCCUCCACCGUCCUGUUCACCUCUCACCAGGUUCAUAUUUUCUUUAUCUUAUUUAUUGUACUUAAUCAUUAUUUUGUGAGAAGCUUUUCUGAUUGUAGAUGUGACAACCAGAAUACAAGUUAAAACCACUUA
Molecule: long non-coding RNA, 1618 nt
Filed under: Homo sapiens (human)
Lineage: Eukaryota; Metazoa; Chordata; Mammalia; Primates; Hominidae
Description: FTX transcript, XIST regulator
Rfam family: mir-95 microRNA precursor family (bases 844-922)
Source: RNAcentral